GGCCCGGACAGACCCCGGACAGAGCCCGGACAGGGCCCGGACAGGGCCCGGACACGGCCUGGACACGGCCCGGACAGAGCCCGGACACGGCCCGGACACGGCCGAGGUGUUCGGGGCUCGGCGGGAGAAACGGGCCCCUAAGCCACGACCGAUGAGGGAGUGCGCUGGCGCUCUUGUGCUCCGAAACUGAUUUCACGCGUUCAGGACGGUCGGGCGCAUUUUGUCCAUCACCUCCGAUGGGCUUCAGCGAACACUCGGGAGCACUAUGAAUUCUUAGACUCAGAGGAGCUGUGUAAAAACCACACUUAAGCCCUCAUACCAUGAGAACUUCACACUGUGAAAUGCAACUGUCCAGUCUCCUCUCACGGUUCACUGCCAGCAGCCUCAUACCAAGCACUAACGCUGGUGCUGCACAUGCACUAGAGGAGCUACAAAGAGGUCCGUGUUGUUCUUCACAAUCCAGGCAAAGCAGCAGGAACAAGAGGGAAAGGGCAGGCUCAUGCCUCCACCAGAGAAGGACAUUUCUCACAUUGAAAAAUGCACACUUUCUGUGUGCAGCAGGACGUGCAGUCAAUGCCGAAGAGCUGACCAGAAGAUGGAGACAGAGGAACACUUUUGGAAGCACACUGGGACCCUGACCUUCGGCUGGGCAGGAGCUGCCCUUGGAAGCAAGGGAGGAGCCAGACCCAUCUCACGGGACACAGGGAUGGAGAGCUGUGGUUAAUUAAAGGGACAUUUCUGCUCACCAAAUCCGGUUUGCUCUGAAAAUCUGAAUUUUUCUAAAAAUCUGUAAAGUUUGAGUAAAAAAAAAAAAAAAUUACAUCUACAAAUCUUUUGAGGCAGAAGGGGAGAAAAUAACUCUUAAUAUUCUUAAGACAUCAUGGCUCUUUCUCAGAAGGCCGUGCAGACACUACACUCUUUGGCAGGUAUCUCCACACAAGAAGCCAGUGACACUCAGAUAAACCUGGAGCAUUCCUAUGAUAUCACAGCAGCUACUAUGGGUCAGCAUUCAUCCAGAGGAGAUCAGAACAUUCAAAGGACUUUCAAAGAUAUUCCUUAUAUGGUUGUUUUCUUCUCCUACUGAGCUGAUGUGCAAGUUCAGAAAAUGCUCCUUGAAUUAAACUGAACUAUUAAGUUAA
This is a long non-coding RNA of Onychostruthus taczanowskii (white-rumped snowfinch), 1139 nucleotides long. RefSeq lists it as uncharacterized. The record is from RefSeq and is a predicted model, not a curated record. The transcript is spliced from 3 exons. NCBI's taxonomy places the organism in Eukaryota, Metazoa, Chordata, Aves, Passeriformes, Passeridae.